UAGGGAAUAUUGCAAAAUGGGCGAAAGCCCGAUGCAGCAACGCCGCGUGGGCGAUGAAGGCCUUCGGGUCGUAAAGCCCUUUUUGAGGGGAUGAGGAAGGACAGUACCCUCAGAAUAAGCCUCGGCUAACUACGUGCCAGCAGCCGCGGUAAAACGUAGGAGGCGAGCGUUAUCCGGAUUUACUGGGCGUAAAGCGCGUGCAGGCGGAUUGGAGAGUUGGAUGUGAAAGCUCCCGGCUUAACUGGGAGAGGUCGUUCAAUACUUCCAGUCUUGAGUGCAGUAGAGGGCAGUGGAAUUCCGGGUGUAGUGGUGAAAUGCGUAGAUAUCCGAAGGAACACCAGUGGCGAAAGCGGCUUCCUGGACUGUAACUGACGCUCAGACGCGAAAGCUAGGGUAGCAAACG
RNAcentral lists this ribosomal RNA (403 nucleotides) under uncultured bacterium. Its description in RNAcentral is "bacterial SSU rRNA". It matches the Rfam family "Bacterial small subunit ribosomal RNA", at positions 355 to 774 of the family's 1533-position model. The record is from RNAcentral.